GCCCCGCCCUAAGGUCUCCCGCAUCCGGAGUCUAGGUGCUGGGAUAGGGCCGCCAGCCGGACUCUGUGGGCUAGAAUGGGUCCCAGGGGACCAGAUGUGCCCCCGAGGCCUGACCCUGGGAAUUCCUCGGAGCCACCUGCAGAGAGGCCCCCGCGGGCUAGAAGUGGACCUGGACCCAGGCAGGGCGUCCUCCAGCUUCUGGGAGGUCUGGGCUGGCGCCCUUGCCAGGAGACUCUGUUGUGGGUCCUUGUGCCCACCUGCCCUGGUUGUGAACUGACCUGGCGCUCGCGAGUUACUGUUUCCACCCUCACCCCUGAGUCGGGAAGGGCCCUGCGCCCCCAGAAGCCUGCCUCUGUGUUUGAGUUCUUGCCACUUUGUGUCCAUUCUCUCAUCAGCACUGCCAGGGAAACUGAGACCCAGACGAAGUGGGAUUUGCCCAUCCUGAUGCCAGCCCAUGAUUCUGGGCCCAGGCAGGGCUCUCACCCCCAGGGAGACCAGGGGCCCUGGUUCCAGGAGCAAUUUGCAGGGGUUGUGGAUGUGGGCAGCCUAGGCCCUGUGUGAUGUCUUCAUGUCCACUUACCAGAUCUUUGAACUACCUGUCACCUUAGGACUGUAGGUACGAUUGCAGAAACAUCUUUUGUUUGCUUAUCCUUUUUGUGUCGCGACCCGUCUGGCCCUGGCCCAGGUGUCAGUGUGGCAGCUCCUGGGCUCCAGGUGUGGCCCCACCCCCACCCCCACACACCUGGUCUCUGGCCUGAGCUGUCCCACCUGACCCUGUGAGACGCCCCCGCUGAGUUACAAGUUGCAGUGGCCACGUGGGCUCGCCCAGCUCCUGCCAAGGAGAAUGGGGCCUUCAUGGCAGCUUAAUGGGGCCCAGACCUUCACAGGAUCCCUGGGCCUGCCCUGAGGGUGCUGUGGCACAGACCCCCUCCACCCUUCCAGGGUCUCAGGGACAUGGCCUUGGACAGAGUCCCUCCUCCCCCAACCCCCACCGCUGUCCAGUCCUCUGGAGGGAGACCACUGUCUGGCCGUCCUUGGGGGGAGUGGUCGAGAGCGUAGGGUUGAGGAGUCUGCCACAGGGAGCCGGAAGGUGGGGGGCCUCCUUUGCCCUUGCCUGUUCCUCAGACAGGGUUUUGUAUGAGAAAGAGGUGUUUAAGGACCUCAGGGGCCUCAGGACUCUCCUAGAAGCUUUUCUAAAGAGGCCAGGCUCAGCCUGUUCAGGAAAGGAGACUGUGCUGUGCUGCGACCAAGUUCUCAUGCUGUAGAUUCUCACAACCACCACGGGCCAGGUCUGCCAGCAGUUUGUAGUGUUGCAGUAGUGCACACGGAGUCCCUGAUGGAAAAAGUCUGUAUAUAACCUGCUGUUCAUGGCUUUGUGUUGAGAAAAACCAGGAAGAGUCCCCGUAGCAUCUCUUCACCGACACAAAGCCCAUCGAGAUCUGCGUUCCGUAAAUCACACACACAGGAUGGCGCGUGGUUUCUCUACACGGUGCGACUGCUUUGACCAACCCUGUGAGCACGAAAUUCACCCAUUAUCUGCCCAUUAGUGAGCCCAACAGACUGCUCCCAGCCCAGCCUCACUGCUCAGCCACAGCCAUCGAUCACAUCCCCAGGAAGGCACACACUCUGUCCACUCCCCGCGGAGAGUUCGUCUAGAGCAGGAUGGGUCCUGGCGCACCGGGGCCCCAGGGGCCACAGCCCAGCUGGUCCGGCAUCUCUAGCUGCCUUAACAACUCACCUGGACCGCUGGACCCGGAUCCGAUUCCCAGCUGCGGAGCCAGAGGCUGAGUCAGGGAAAGUGACUCAGGGGCACCCCACUCAACACCAGAGACAGUAAACCGCCUGGUGAUGCAUCUGUUUGACAAAUGUCUCAUGGCUCAGCUGUUGGCUGGUGUUUUCUGUGGUGGGCAGGCAGUUUGUUGAACAGCACAGGGCCAACCACAGCCAUAAGGGAACCGAAGUUCCAGGUCGGAAACCUCCCUGGCAGAAUCUCACGCGGCAGCGCUCGAGAGAGGUCUGCUGUCUCCUCUGUGGACACGGUGUUAUAAACCCUCGUGCUGUGGAUACAUUUCAUAAAUGAGAAUCCUAGCUGUCCUUGUCAUUGUAAAACAGAAUGUAAACAAAGUCUUAUGAAUGUAUUUCCUUAGGAAAACUGUUGUAAAAUUUUUUAUUAGAAAAGAAUUCCUAUUUAUUUAAUACUGAACCUUGGCCUACUUUAUGGUAGACGAAGGAACAUGACUGUAGGAGUCGCUAUUUCUCACUUCUGUAUUUUCUUGAAAAUAAUUUGGUUACAGUGCUUCUAUACCGUGUACUAGUGGUCUUCUAUUGUGAAAGGAGAUUUAAAGAAUUUCUUUGAAGCUGGAAAUGUAUGUUAAUUAGGAGUGGUGAAAAUUGUGUAUGUUAAUUUUGUGAAUGUAAAUUAAGUCGAAUUUUGUGUAACCCUGAUCACAGAACGAUGUGCCUUACAGCGAGCGCUGCCCCGGACGUGUUGGGCAGGGGCCCCAUCACAGACCCUGUCAAGCCUGCAUGAUCAAGUCUAUUAAAAAUGUUUCAAGGCACUUUGGGCACAAACUUUGUUCAUAAAUGAGAAAUCAUAUCGAGGAGAAUUUAAGGAGCAGUUUCUGCAGGCAAACACUGCUCUGGCACUAAAAUGAACGUCGACAACAGUUGCGUGCGGGCGCGUGCCCGUGGGUCAGAGGCAGCCCCUCUGGCUGGUGCAAGGAGGUUGUUGGACAACGCGAAUUCUGGCCCACCCAGGCCUCUGAGAACUGGUUCUUCCCAGAGACACGGAGACACCACCGCUCACUUGCUUACUCAAACUCGUCACUGCACACGGGGCAGGUGCCCAGAAAGGGCAGAACAGUACCCACCCAGCCAGAGUCGGGGGAGGAAGCACCUGAGACAUUAAAGAAGAGGGGUGGCCCAGGGCUGAAAAGAGGUGAGCAGGGACAGCAGGGUCCAGAGCCUGGAGGCAAGGAGGGUCUCUGAAGGGUCACCAUGAGGCUGAUGGCGGCGGCAGAAGUGCAGGGAGACCCAUGAGAUGGAGCUGUGCACCUGUCCCUGAAUGUCCUGGGGAAUCCUGUCCCCGCCCCCCAGGUGGAUCUCACCCUCUCAGGUGGCUCCUGCCUCGCCCUCCACCAGGUGGAGCCCCUCCCCGGUGGAUUUCAUCCCCCCAGGUGGAUCUCACCCCCCCAGGUGGCUCCUGCCUCGUCCCCCACCAGGUGGGGCCCCUCCCAGAUGGCUCUUGCCUCCCCCUCCACCAGGGGGAGCCCCUCCCAGGUGGAUCUCACCCACCCAGGUGGCUCCUGCCUCCCCCCACCAGGUGGGGCCCCUCUCAGGUGGAUCUCACCCACCCAGGUGGCUCCUGCCUCCCCCUCCUACCAGGUGAAGCCCCCACCCCCCAGGUGGCUCCUGCCUCACCCCCCACCAGGUGGAGCCCUCCCAGGUGGAUCCUGCCUCCCCCUCCACCAGGUGGAGCCCCUCCCAGGCAGAUCCUGCCUCCCCCUCCACUAGGUGGAGGCCCUCCCAGGUGGAUCUCACCCCCCCCAGAUGGCUCCUGCCUUGCCCCCCACCAGGUGGAGCCCCUCCCAGGUGGAUC
Acinonyx jubatus (cheetah) is the source of this 3598-nucleotide long non-coding RNA. RefSeq lists it as uncharacterized. The record is from RefSeq and is a predicted model, not a curated record. Lineage: Eukaryota; Metazoa; Chordata; Mammalia; Carnivora; Felidae. The transcript has 3 exons.